GAUGAACGCUGGCGGCGUGCCUAAUACAUGCAAGUCGAGCGAACAGACGAGGAGCUUGCUCCUCUGACGUUAGCGGCGGACGGGUGAGUAACACGUGGAUAACCUACCUAUAAGACUGGGAUAACUUCGGGAAACCGGAGCUAAUACCGGAUAAUAUAUUGAACCGCAUGGUUCAAUAGUGAAAGACGGUUUUGCUGUCACUUAUAGAUGGAUCCGCGCCGCAUUAGCUAGUUGGUAAGGUAACGGCUUACCAAGGCGACGAUGCGUAGCCGACCUGAGAGGGGGAUCGGCCACCCUGGAACUGAGACACGGUCCAGACUCCCACGGGAGGCAGCAGUAGGGAAUCUUCCGCAAUGGGCGAAAGCCUGACGGAGCAACGCCGCGUGGGUGAUGAAGGUCUUCGGAUCGUAAAACUCUGUUAUUAGGGAAGAACAAAUGUGUAAGUAACUAUGCACGUCUUGACGGUACCUAAUCAAAAAGCCCCGGCUAACUACGU
RNAcentral lists this ribosomal RNA (496 nucleotides) under uncultured bacterium. RNAcentral's name for it is "partial 16S ribosomal RNA". It matches the Rfam family "Bacterial small subunit ribosomal RNA", at positions 28 to 506 of the family's 1533-position model. The record is from RNAcentral.